Molecule: transfer RNA, 64 nt
Filed under: Tolmerinus auronotatus
Lineage: Eukaryota; Metazoa; Arthropoda; Insecta; Coleoptera; Staphylinidae
Description: tRNA-Tyr
Source: RNAcentral
GGUAAAAUGGCUGAUUUAGGUGAUAAAUUGUAAAUUUAUUUAUGAAUGAAAAAUUCUUUUACCA